This 488-nucleotide ribosomal RNA is filed under the name uncultured bacterium. RNAcentral's name for it is "partial 16S ribosomal RNA". It matches the Rfam family "Bacterial small subunit ribosomal RNA", at positions 899 to 1397 of the family's 1533-position model. The record is from RNAcentral.
ACUCAAAUGAAUAGACGGGGGCCCGCACAAGCAGCGGAGCGUGUGGUUUAAUUCGACGCAACGCGCAACACCUUACCACGGUUUGACAUCCACCGAACCUGCCUGAAAGGGCGGGGUGCCUUCGGGAGCGGUGAGACAGGUGCUGCAUGGCUGUCGUCAGCUCGUGUCGUGAGAUGUUGGGUUAAGUCCCGCAACGAGCGCAACCCCCGUGGCUAGUUACGAGGUGUGUCUAGCCAGACUGCCGGAACCAAACCGGAGGAAGGUGGGGAUGAUGUCAAGUCAGCAUGGCCCUUACACCGUGGGCGACACACACGCUACAAUGGCCGGGACAAUGGGCAGCCAAGCGGUAACGCGGAGCCAAUCCCACAAACCCGGUCUCAGUUCAGAUCGUGGGCUGCAACUCGCCCACGUGAAGGCGGAGUUGCUAGUAACCGCCGGUCAGCAUUACGGCGGUGAAUAUGUUCCCGGGCCUUGUACACACCGCCCGU